RNAcentral lists this non-coding RNA (111 nucleotides) under Vibrio cholerae. RNAcentral describes it as "TPP". It matches the Rfam family "TPP riboswitch aptamer (THI element)". From Rfam's summary of the family: Vitamin B(1) in its active form thiamin pyrophosphate (TPP) is an essential coenzyme that is synthesised by coupling of pyrimidine and thiazole moieties in bacteria. The previously detected thiamin-regulatory element, thi box was extended, resulting in a new, highly conserved RNA secondary structure, the THI element, which is widely distributed in eubacteria and also occurs in some archaea. Analysis of operon structures identified a large number of new candidate thiamin-regulated genes, mostly transporters, in various prokaryotic organisms. Lineage: Bacteria; Pseudomonadati; Pseudomonadota; Gammaproteobacteria; Vibrionales; Vibrionaceae. The record is from RNAcentral.
UCCAAGUAGUUUGGGUAUAACAACGUGCGAAUUAAAGGCUGAGAUCGCGUAGCGAGACCCGUUGAACCUGAUUCAGUUAGGACUGACGUAGGGAACUAUCCUCAACCGCUG